This is a long non-coding RNA of Sparus aurata (gilthead seabream), 2153 nucleotides long. The record is from Ensembl. Lineage: Eukaryota; Metazoa; Chordata; Actinopteri; Spariformes; Sparidae.
GGGCAUUUUGUUCACUGUAACUAAAAAGUAAUUAGUAGUAAGUAAAUUUGUACGAAGUGUUUUAUUUGCUGACCCACUGCUGCUGUAACAAAAUAAUUUCCCAGUCUGGGAUCAUUAAAGUAAUUCUAUCUAUCUAUCUAUCUAUCUAUCUAUCUAAUUUAUUACUCUAUGAUUACAGUACAUUGUUAUAACAUAUUACAUUAAAAUCAAGGUAACUAGUAGUAUCUAAUAUAUUGCAUUUCAAAAAUAAUGUUAACGUUGAAGACAUUAUGAGAUGGUAAGUAAGAUGUUUUUAUUUUGAGGGGGUCUUUUGUAUUUCUGAUAGUAUAUCGGAGUAUCUAGGUUGUACACAGUCAAAGAAAUUGUCUACAAAAAGUCAUUGUAUUUACUUUAAUAUCUGUAUUUUGCAAUAAAAUUCACAUAGGGUCAGAAUUUGGUGCAACACCGGAACCAACGUUUUUGUUCCCUGUUUGCACCCGGUUGUUUUCCGACUUCCUGAUGUCUUCGUGUACGAAGACGCCACCUCUAGUUGUGGCUGCAGUCAAGCUCCCUACAAAAUGAACUAUCGUCGGAUAAAAGGACUUUCACAAGUUUCAUCGGUGACCAACAUGAUGUCUGGGAAGGCGUUUGUCAAAAUGAGAUGGCUGAUACUGCAGCAGGAUGAUGGAAGCCUGCUGGAGAGUGCCAGAGCUUCACCCUCUGCGUUUGGAAGCUCUAUGAGGGAGGAACCAGUCUUUGUUGUAAACAGUUCCUCGAUGUGGUGAAUGAGAUCAUAGGCUUCUUGGGAGGGGUGGCAACUUGACUUCUCUUGGUUUUUGCAUUGUUUUUCCUGAUCUGUGUUCUCUUUAAAAAAAAUCGUAAACUUCCCAGUGGUGUGGUAUUUGAAAGUGCAAAUGUAUUGUUUGAAUAUGAUUACCUCACAUAUUUUUUUGUUAUCAAAAUUUUGUAGGUGGUUAAAUUGCUCCUUCCGAAUUUAGAAUAGAAUAGAAUAGAACAGAAUUACUUUAUCGAUCCCGAUUUAGCCACCCAUGUUUUUCUAUACAUGCACACGCCUUUCUCCCAGCGAUCAGAGCAUCCCCAUGCAGCACAGCACACCUGGUGAAGACUGUAUUCAAGUACAACACAGCAGAAAGGACACAAACAGCUUGACGUGCUUAUCUGUUUGACUAAUUCAGAUACUGUUUUUAAGGAAUUCAUUGUGGUAUUAAAUGCAUUGGGAAAAUCAAGACUGUGUGAUUUAUAAUGCAUCAAUGAGUAGAGUAAGUUUGGAAUAAGUAAGAAUAGUUAACAAAUAGUGCUAGAAUUCCAUUUAUUUGCAAUGAAUUCAAAUAAAAAUUUUAAUUAUUUGCCAUGGAUUUCCUAGUAGAACACAGAUAUCAUCAUAAUGCUGCUGUGAGUCCAGACUUGUCAGUCACCUGUUAGCCUCAGAGUGACCGCGAGCGCUCAGAGAGUGACCGCAAGCACGCAGAGAGAGUGACCGCAAGCACGCAGAGAGAGAGUGACCACGAGCGCUCAGAGAGUAGUCAUUAUGCGUGCUGAUUAUGGUUUUAUGCACGCAGAUAUUGGCACUGAAAUGACUCCAUAUUAAUGUCCUACUCUGAUGCAUGCGUCAGUUUGAGAGGCUGAAAUAAAUGGGACAGUCCUCUGCCUUUAGUUGCAACAGCCUUUGAAGUGGACCGUGGUUUGUUCGAGGUCCGACGCCACAAAACCAAACUACUAACGAGACAGUGUCUUUUUAGGUAACGUUACGGUCUCUUUGCUUGCUGCAUGUUGUUUUUGUUUCUCUGUGGAAAGUCAAUGCGGGGGAGGGCGGAGCCCACUAUGAACUACGGGAGCCUGUGGGGAGCGGUGGCAGAGCAAGUUAAAGAGAAAAUCGAUUUUAUUUUUUAAAAUCAUCCUAAACCAAAAAACUUGAAUUAAUCGAUUUUGCCGAUUUAUCGCCCAGCCCUAAGCAUUAUGAAGCGAGAACCAGUGGGAUAUCCCUAAACCUCUGUUGACCCAGGUUAAUUUAUGAUCACUCUUUUUUAUGCAUUUCUCUCCAAGUCAAAUUCCUGUGUACUCUGUACAUUUGGCAAAUAAAAGAGCUGGUCAUACUAUCGACGAGUGACACCGCCUGAGACGCCGCCUGUGACGCACAUCGGGACUUCCGUGAG